AUCCGUUAUCAUACCUGUUCAUUCUUACUCGUCGCUCGACUUAUCGUGACUAAAUUCAAAAUGGCCGCAAACGCUAAACUCCGUGAAGAUACUGUCUGUAUAAAUCGUCUUGCCCUCAACACGGUACUUCUCAACAAAAGGCGUGAUGGCAGGUGCAGCCAAGUGACAGCCCAUGGGUCACAGCUCUGGAUUGACAAGCUCACUAGCCAAGCUGAUUAAAGGCUUAAAGGUCACUAAAGAGGGGCAGCUUUUACACAAACACCUGCCUCCGUACUCUGGGUCAGCCAGCCAGCCAGCCAGCCGGGAUGUGCUGUGAUGUAGGACAGGUGGAUUCAUUAAACGCCCAUAAAGACACGUUGGUGACAGCACAGCUGCAUAAACACACUUCACUGAAGAGUUCUUUGAAGAUAAACUCAUCCCAUUAUGUGGCAUGAAGCUCUUCAUUUAUUGUCUUUCUCUCUGGAGCCCUACCACACCUUUGUUCUACCUGGAUGAGUGUAAUCACCCUGUAUUUGUUACUAAGUACCUCUUAAAGCCUAAAACUAUUGAGUUCAUAGAAAAUCCCUGAUGAAAGAUGAGAAUUUGAAACAUGAGAAUUGCAUGGUCAGUACAUCCAUUUUCAAUCAUUCAGAUAUUUUAGGAAUGUGUUUUGAUUUCAAUAUCUCUUGUCUUGGAUGCGUCAGCAUCCUAUGACCUUGGAAAUGCAGAGAAGGGUGAAUAUCCUCUUGUCUUAUUUAGCUUGAAGCCUGUUCUGUUCCCUUAUGGUCACCAUUUCAGUAACAGAUCAUGUUGCCUUGUGGAAGGAUUGUCUCCAUAACAUAUAUGCUGUCAGGGCAUUGCUGACUAUCAUUUUUCUUUGUAAACUUAAACUCAAAUGAAAUUUGAACUGUUAUUUGUUCAUACAGUGUUCAUUCAUCCAUUGCAGAUACUGUUAACGUUACACAUUUAUAGCAAAGAGAAUGUGUAAAUUUUUUGUGGGUUUGUUUGUAAAAAAAUGUAAAACUGUGUACAGAUCACUAUCAUUCUCAGAAGGGGUAUUUUAAGUAUCAACUUUUUAAGGCUUUGAUUAAAAUUAAUUUAAUUUUAGUUCAAAAAGCAGUCCAUAUCAUAAACCUGUCUGCCCUUUGUAUUGUAGUUGAAGUCUUAUUUCGAUAUUUCUUGUCCUGAAAAAAAUCUACCUGGAUGAUGAUUUAGAUUUCCUUCCUCGUUUUUUCUGAAAUUCGAAUGAAAUCAUUUGUAUUGUGUCCUUUACCACAAUACUUAUUCAUUAUUUUACUGCAUACAUCAGUCAAGUGGUUAUCAAAUGGUAAAAAACAGUCGCAGAGUCACAAAGCACACGUUGUAGGGCUAUGAGAUGUGUGAGGUUGUAUUGAUGUAUUGCCUGUAUUGCAUUGCUUACCCAUUAAAAACCCUAGACAAAUUGAUGGUUGUAGGAUGUCCAAUGUUCUUCUUUGCAAACCACUGUAUUUAGCAUAGGCAGGAAGUAAGGCCUGCAGCUAGC
Alosa sapidissima (American shad) is the source of this 1501-nucleotide long non-coding RNA. RefSeq lists it as uncharacterized. The transcript is spliced from 3 exons. The record is from RefSeq and is a predicted model, not a curated record. Lineage: Eukaryota; Metazoa; Chordata; Actinopteri; Clupeiformes; Clupeidae.